This is a long non-coding RNA of Humulus lupulus (European hop), 1401 nucleotides long. RefSeq lists it as uncharacterized. The transcript has 2 exons. The record is from RefSeq and is a predicted model, not a curated record. NCBI's taxonomy places the organism in Eukaryota, Viridiplantae, Streptophyta, Magnoliopsida, Rosales, Cannabaceae.
UACAUUUUAUUAUUCAAAUAAAUUAAAAAAAAAAAAGGUGAUAAUGUUAUUUUGGGAAAGGAAGUGAUCAUCUUUUAUUUUUCCACGUAUUGUGAUAUAAUUAAAUAAAUAUGAAUUAAGACAAAAUAUGGAACAGAAUAGGAAAGUUACCUUUUUCUUUUAUUAGAGUCUUUAUGGGAAAAUUAGGAUAAAUAGGGAAUGGGAAAAAUGGAAGAGCAUUAUGCUCUUGGGGCUGCCGAAUUAUUGAGAGAAGAGAGAGAGAGAGAGGGUGUGACCUAGAGAGAGAAGGAGAAGAAGAAAGAAAUGAAGAAGGAGAAGAAGAAGGGUUCAAGCUAGGGUAAGGCUCUUGUUUUGAUUUAUGAUUUCUUAUGUUAAAUCUAGUAUAUUGAUUUGGGUUGUCUCUAACUUUUGGUGUUCAUCUUCUUCUCCAUCUUGAUAUUCAAAAAAAUACAACCCCUAGGGUUUGAGCAAGGAGGUGCUUCUAGAUUAGAUUCUUGAUUUCUAUCAAGAGAGGCUCGUUGAGAAGUUGUGGUUUUACUUAGCUUGGACCUGAGGUAAGGAAGUUAGAAUUUAUGAUUGUUAUAUUAUGAAUGGUAAGACUGUUCUGUGAAUGAAAUGUUAUGAAUUAUGAAUGUCAUAAUGUGAUGAUAUGUUGGCUUGUAUGAACGUUGUAUGAUAUGAAUGGAUGUUAGCGUGAUGAACAUGACACAUCAAAAUGAGUUGCUAAGGAUAAGAAGACGAAACCCGAGUUACUAACGAUAUGAAGACGUAACUCCAUGGGCGGAUGCGCCGAGGUUAUUCAAGGACCAGAGACUCUUGUUUACCUCAAAGGGUGGCAUGGACAAGUUAGCGGGCUAUGUUCACAAGGAAUUAUUUAUGAUUGUGUUAUGAUGUUUGGUGAUGUUUAUGAUUUUGUUAUGAUGUUUAUGAUAUGAUGGUGGCAUUAUGUUGAUGUAAAUGUGUUUAUGUUUAUGAUAUUGAUGCCAAGUUUAUGAUGAUACUAUGAUGUAUAAAGAUGAAUGAUAGUGUUUGUAAUUUGUUGUAUCUUACUUGCUUGUUGUUUGUACUUCCUUACUGGGCUUUUAGCUCACCCAUCUUACUUUCCCUUCCAAGUAGCAAAUAGGUUUCUCUAUGGCACGCGGUGAAGUGGGGAGUUCUAUCGUUGUGGUGUGUAUGGCAUGGGGGCAUCCUAUGGACGAAAAACGAUCAAUUAAAAACACCAUUUUUAAUAAUGUUAUGUUUUAAGAGACUUUUUAAACUUAUCAGUGGGACUUGAAUUAUUGGUUGUUUUAGAACUUUGCAUAAAAACUGAUAUUUUCUUUUAAAACUAUUGGGCCCAACUUGCAUGUUUUAAGCAAGACCCCACUGAAACCUUUAUAAUAAGUGGCUUUCUUUUAUAAA